AGUGAACGCUGGCGGUAGGCCUAACACAUGCAAGUCGAACGGCAGCACAGGAGAGCUUGCUCUCUGGGUGGCGAGUGGCGGACGGGUGAGGAAUACAUCGGAAUCUACUCUGUCGUGGGGGAUAACGUAGGGAAACUUACGCUAAUACAGCAUACGAACUACGGGUGAAAGCAGGGGACCUUCGGGCCUUGCGCGAUUGAAUGAGCCGAUGUCGGAUUAGCUAGUUGGCGGGGUAAAGGCGCAACAAGGCGACGAUCCGUAGCUGGUCUGCGAGGAUGAUAAGCCACACUGGAGAUGAGGCACGGUCCAGACUCCUAGGGGAGGCAGCAGUGGGGAAUAUUGGACAAUGGGCGCAAGCCUGAUCCAGCCAUACCGCGUGGGUGAAGAAGGCCUUCGGGUUGUAAAGCCCUUUUGUUGGGAAAGAAAUCCAGCUGGCUAAUACCCGGUUGGGAUGACGGUACCCAAAGAAUAAGCACCGGCUAACUUCGUGCCAGCAGCCGCAGUAA
RNAcentral lists this ribosomal RNA (506 nucleotides) under uncultured bacterium. RNAcentral's name for it is "partial 16S ribosomal RNA". It matches the Rfam family "Bacterial small subunit ribosomal RNA", at positions 29 to 523 of the family's 1533-position model. The record is from RNAcentral.